ACUAAGCGCAUAUGGUGGAUGCCUAGGCGGUAGGAGGCGAUGAAGGACGUUGUAGCAUGCGAUAAGCCUCGGUGAGCUUGCAAACAAGCUUUGAUCCGGGGAUUUCCGAAUGGGGAAACCCACCUGUCAUAAGGCAGGUAUCUUGCACUGAAUUCAUAGGUGUAAGAAGCGAACCCGGGGAACUGAAACAUCUAAGUACCCGGAGGAAAAGAAAUCAACCGAGAUUCCCUAAGUAGCGGCGAGCGAACGGGGAUUAGCCCUUAAGCUUUAUUGAUUUUAGAAGAACACUCUGGAAAGUGUGGCCAUAGACGGUGAUAGCCCGGUAUUCAAAAAGAUCUUUAGAGUGAAAUCGAGUAGGUCGGAGCACGUGAAACUUUGACUGAACAUGGGGGGACCAUCCUCCAAGGCUAAAUACUCCCUACCGACCGAUAGUGAACCAGUACCGUGAGGGAAAGGCGAAAAGAACCCCGAAGAGGGGAGUGAAAUAGAUCCUGAAACCGUAUGCGUACAAGCAGUGGGAGCACAGAUUUGUCUGUGUGACUGCGUACCUUUUGUAUAAUGGGUCAGCGACUUACUUCUCAGUGGCAAGCUUAACCGAAUAGGGGAGGCGUAGCGAAAGCGAGUCUGAACAGGGCGUUCAGUCGCUGGGAGUAGACCCGAAACCGGGCGAUCUAUCCAUGGCCAGGUUGAAGGUGAGGUAACACUCACUGGAGGACCGAACCCACUUAUGUUGAAAAAUGAGGGGAUGAGCUGUGGAUCGGAGUGAAAGGCUAAUCAAGCCCGGAGAUAGCUGGUUCUCCUCGAAAGCUAUUUAGGUAGCGCCUCGUGUAUCACUCUCGGGGGUAGAGCACUGUUAUGGCUAGGGGGCCAUCCCGGCUUACCAACCCAUUGCAAACUCCGAAUACCGAGAAGUGCAAUCACGGGAGACACACGGCGGGUGCUAACGUCCGUCGUGGAAAGGGAAACAACCCAGACCGCCAGCUAAGGUCCCAAAAUCUAUGCUAAGUGGGAAACGAUGUGGGAAGGCACAGACAGCCAGGAGGUUGGCUUAGAAGCAGCCAUCCUUUAAAGAAAGCGUAAUAGCUCACUGGUCGAGUCGGCCCGCGCGGAAGAUUUAACGGGGCUAAGCAUAGUACCGAAGCUGCGGAUGCCAGUUUACUGGCAUGGUAGAGGAGCGUUCUGUAAGCCUGCGAAGGUGAACUGUAAGGUUUGCUGGAGGUAUCAGAAGUGCGAAUGCUGACAUGAGUAACGAUAAAGGGGGUGAAAAACCCCCUCGCCGGAAGUCCAAGGUUUCCUGCUCUAUGCUAAUCAGAGCAGGGUUAGUCGGUCCCUAAGGUGAGGCCGAAAGGCGUAAUCGAUGGAAAGCAGGUUAAUAUUCCUGCACCCUAUACAGUUGCGAUGGAGAGACGGAGAAGGCUAGGCCAGCCUGGCGUUGGUUGUCCAGGUUUAAGCGUUUAGGAAGUGUUCUUAGGUAAAUCCGGGAACACAAUUCUGAGGCGUUACGACGAUCUACUAAGGUAGAGAAGUGGUCGAUGCCAUGCUUCCAGGAAAAUCUUCUAAGCUUCAGACUGUAUGGGUCCGUACCCCAAACCGACACAGGUGGACAGGGUGAGAAUCCCAAGGCGCUUGAGAGAACUCGGGUGAAGGAACUAGGCAAAAUAGUACCGUAACUUCGGGAGAAGGUACGCCCCUGACGGUUUACGCUGUUGGGGGCCGCAGAGACUAGGUGGCUGCGACUGUUUACUAAAAACAUAGCACUCUGCAAACUCGUAAGAGGAAGUAUAGGGUGUGACGCCUGCCCGGUGCCGGAAGGUUAAUUGAUGGGGUUAGCUUAGGCGAAGCUCUUGAUCGAAGCCCCGGUAAACGGCGGCCGUAACUAUAACGGUCCUAAGGUAGCGAAAUUCCUUGUCGGGUAAGUUCCGACCUGCACGAAUGGCGUAACGAUGGCCACACUGUCUCCACCCGAGACUCAGUGAAAUUGAAAUCGCUGUUAAGAUGCAGUGUACCCGCGGCUAGACGGAAAGACCCCGUGCACCUUUACUACAGCUUUGCACUGAACACUGGUCCUACUUGUGUAGGAUAGGUGGGAGGCUUUGAAGCGGUGGCGCUAGCCAUCGUGGAGCCAACCUUGAAAUACCACCCUGGUAUGUCUGGUGUUCUAACCCAGGUCCGUAAUCCGGAUCGGGGACAGUGUAUGGUGGGUAGUUUGACUGGGGCGGUCUCCUCCCAAAGAGUAACGGAGGAGCGCGACGGUUCGCUAAUCCCGGUCGGAAAUCGGGAGGUUUGUGCAAUGGCAUAAGCGAGCUUGACUGCGAGACUGACACGUCGAGCAGGUACGAAAGUAGGUCAUAGUGAUCCGGUGGUUCUGAAUGGAAGGGCCAUCGCUCAACGGAUAAAAGGUACGCCGGGGAUAACAGGCUGAUACCGCCCAAGAGUUCAUAUCGACGGCGGUGUUUGGCACCUCGAUGUCGGCUCAUCACAUCCUGGGGCUGAAGCAGGUCCCAAGGGUAUGGCUGUUCGCCAUUUAAAGUGGUACGCGAGCUGGGUUUAGAACGUCGUGAGACAGUUCGGUCCCUAUCUGCCGUGGGCGUUUGAGAAUUGAGAGGAGCUGCUCCUAGUACGAGAGGACCGGAGUGGACGUACCUCUGGUGUUCCGGUUGUCACGCCAGUGGCAUCGCCGGGUAGCUAUGUACGGACGGGAUAACCGCUGAAAGCAUCUAAGCGGGAAGCCCCCCUCAAGAUUAAUUCUCACUAGACUCUCGAAGUCUCUGAAGGUCCGUUGAAGACUACGACGUUGAUAGGCAAGGUGUGGAAGUGCAGCAAUGUAUGAAGCUAACUUGUACUAAUUGACCGUGAGGCUUGGCC
This 2865-nucleotide ribosomal RNA is filed under the name uncultured bacterium. RNAcentral's name for it is "bacterial LSU rRNA". It matches the Rfam family "Bacterial large subunit ribosomal RNA". The record is from RNAcentral.